This 95-nucleotide transfer RNA is filed under the name Bradyrhizobium sp. CB82. RNAcentral's name for it is "tRNA-Ser". Lineage: Bacteria; Pseudomonadati; Pseudomonadota; Alphaproteobacteria; Hyphomicrobiales; Nitrobacteraceae. The record is from RNAcentral.
GCGUAGCCUAGCGUGCCCUAUCGCAUUUUUCGGAUGGGCACGUUAUCUUGCUCCGAAGGCAAAGGUCACACGUUCGAAUCGUGUCGGGCGCGCCA